Molecule: long non-coding RNA, 910 nt
Organism: Bombus huntii
Lineage: Eukaryota; Metazoa; Arthropoda; Insecta; Hymenoptera; Apidae
Exons: 2
Source: RefSeq, a predicted model, not a curated record
UUAAUUAAUCAAGUCCAAAUAUAAUAAGUUUCAUAUCAGUAGGUACUAUGUACUUUUACGUGACUACAGAAAUGUAAUAACUGAAUGAAAAUGGAAUGAGAUAUAGAACCUGACAAAAGAAUGCUUCAUUCAAAAAUAAGGUGUGCUGUCAUGUGUAGACAUUCGUCGCCUGCUUUGAAAUAUUCUACAGAAAAAUACAUUUUUCAAAUUUUGUUCGUAGCAUAGAUUAUAGAUGAAAUAUAACAAAGAUAGAUUACAACUAUUUGCAUCAGAAUUCAACUUCAAUUCUGGGUUUGCUUUCAACUUACAAGACUAUAUAUUACUGAAUAAAUAUAUCUAUAAUUUAUGCAGAGAAAAAAUAUUCAUAGUUGAAUUUAUGGAAUUUGAACUAAAAUUUUAGGUUAAACCCAUUAAACCGAUAUUUCCAGUGUUCUAUGUAUAAUUGUAAGGACAUACGUAUCGCGUAUAUAUACGUUUACACCGUAUUUACCGUACGAAGGAAUUAGCGAGUCGACAGUAGACGAAGGGCUGCUGCUAAUGGGGUCUGACAUUGACGAAUCUUCAGGUUACGAAGUCGUCAACCGCACAGAGGGCCCUACCGUCAGAGGUUGGCAUUGCAGCUAAAGGCACGCUUCACGCUUACUAGCUUAUCGCGGUAAUCUAAAGCAUUCAUUUCCGACUGAUGAGACGCCUAUUAUUUCCGACGUUGUAGCCGUAGAGAGUGGGGAGUACAUGGUGUGAAAGAAAAGAGGGGAGAGAUGCAGUUUGACAUCGAAUAUGUAGUACGAAACGGAAAAAUGACGUCUUUUAUGGGUACUUUUUGAAUGAAAAAUACAAGUUGAUAAAAAAGAAGAAAAUUAUUUGGAUAAAUUGAAGAGAAAAUAACCCAAUUAACUUUGUCAUUUAUUUA